GCAGUGUCUUCCUUGUUUUGACUUCCCCUUUGAAGCGUCAAAGCUCAGUGGUCAAACAAGUUGUCUUAUGCACAGUGUCAUCAUUGUGAACUCCGGUGAGAGAAAGAGACGGACUCGCCUGCUUCAACGUCAACAGAUCAGAACACUCAGAGCCAGCUUGGAUGUUGCGAGAUCAGGCCCCCCACUUAGUGUAUUUGACAAGCUGAGUUGGACACUCUGUAUCGCUGAGUGUCAGUUUGUCAAAUACCCCAAGUGAGGUGUCACUUGUCUACAAAUGUGACCCAUCCUGGGUGACUCCACAGGCUGACCAGCCAGCUCCACAGGAUGGUCUACCUCACCAAGGAAACUGAAAACAGCACGGCGACAUGCUCAGAACCCUUUGCUUGUGAAAGUUUCAAGGAUAUAGAAAAGGAACAAGGUAAUAAUUAGGUGGUGAUAGUGAAGACACACAAAUGCUUAGUCAUCCUUUCAUCUGUUUAUCUGUCAGUUAUUUAGUGAAUCACAAGCAAAUGAUUUUUUAUGAACAGAAAGAUUCAUUGUAUACAGUCCAAAUAAGUGCAAUUUAUGAACCAACAAAGGCUUUAUUGAGAUGUUUGAAUAAAAUGAAAUAAAAGUGAAACCUCUUGAACCCAG
Cottoperca gobio is the source of this 633-nucleotide long non-coding RNA. RefSeq lists it as uncharacterized. The record is from RefSeq and is a predicted model, not a curated record. The transcript has 2 exons. Lineage: Eukaryota; Metazoa; Chordata; Actinopteri; Perciformes; Bovichtidae.